UCCCAAAUAACAAAUUUAUAAUAACCAUAUGAAAUAUGUUAUUCCUAAACUUAUUUAAAAUGCAUUUCAAGAUCAUCACAACUAAAUUGUUUAUCCUAACAUUUACGAAAAAUCAUUUCUCAAAAAUUUGAAAGGAUAGAAUUUCAUAAAUAAAUAAUAAGAGAAGUUAAGAAAGUAGAACCCGAUAUAUGUCAUUUCCUUCGUGAUCCAUUGUUAUCUCACUUUUGCCAUAUGAAUUGCUG
This 242-nucleotide long non-coding RNA is filed under the name Solanum tuberosum (potato). Its description in RNAcentral is "long non-coding RNA (STUB_LNC005695)". The record is from RNAcentral. Lineage: Eukaryota; Viridiplantae; Streptophyta; Magnoliopsida; Solanales; Solanaceae.